CAUACCCGCUUCCGCGCGCACACUCGACCUUUGAUGGACAGGCUCAGCAGAGAGAGCAGCGAGAACAGAGCCCAUCAAAGCGGCCAUGCUGCGCCGCAGCUCUGUCGUGCUGGCGAGGUUCCAGCCGUACUCGAUGGCGGUGCAAACCCGGUUUAAGUGGCGGCACAAGGAGACGGACCGAUGGCGGCGGCUGAUGGACGCGACGUGCUUCCAAGUCGACUGGCUCGGCCAGACGGCCGGCCCGAACUUCGCGCAGUACAGCGGGCACUGGACGCACGUCAUCACCUGCGCGCACGUGAUCACGCCGUGGGACUACCCCAACUACUACCCCCCGCAGGGGCCAACCCGAUUUGUCUCGCACAUUACUCUGGCGGACACCAUGACGCAGAUUCGGCUCGUCUCGAUGCAGGGCAAUGCCGUGUACAAGCAUUUCACGUCAAAUCAACACGUCUUCGUGCAUUCGAACCCGCGGCUGGACCUGUGCGUCCUGCAUCCGGAGCAAAAUCUGAAGCGCAGUGGCGAGAUGAAGAUGAUGUGGAUGCAGAACGAAGGGUACAUUUUACGUCCGCGGCUUGAGAUCAACGAAACGCUGAAGGUCGGCGAUCACGUCUGGGUGUACGGCAUGUCGGCGCAUGAGUCGCUGUUUGACGAGGAAAAGGGGCCAGAGCCUCUCAUGAUCCCUACCGGCGUCCGCGCUCGCGUGCACACCGUCACGCGCGAGCACUUCUUUCUGGACACAACGGCGCUUGAGGACAACCCAGAUCGUGGCCGCAUCCAGAUGGGCAUGUGCGGCUCUGUCGUGAUGCGCAACGGCAAAUGUGUGGGCAUGCUGACGGCGACGGUGCACGAAGAGAGCGACUGUAAAGAGCUCGCAGGGACGGCCAUGUGCACCUACUCGUCCGACAUCUUCGAGUUCCUGCUGGAGGUGGAGAAGCAAAUGAAGAACCCCGUCGCGCGUCAGAGCCAGGAGGAGACCCGCUUUGAGCAGCGGCGCCGCGCCGAGGGGGGCGUGACGAAGGAGUACAAGCACUGGGAGCUGGACGAGAGCCGCACGGCCCGCCACAUCCCUGUCCCUGUUUCGCUCUGGCAUAUGGAGGAGAGGUGGGUGACGGAGGAGGAUUACAUGAACAGCGCCGUCUUUGGCCGUAGCGGCGCCUUCAACCAAGAAACACAGGAGAGCGCGCUGGGCUACGACAUGAACACCGCCAAGACGAACGGCGACCGCCCAGGUGACAUCGACUCCUUCAUGUCAACCACGACGACCGGCAAGCCUGUAAUGCAAGGCGAGCGGAAGGACUACAGCCCGACCGGCGUGUACGCGAACGUGGAGGAGUUCAAGAACAAGGAUGUGUGGGACUACAACGUGAGCUCCGAGAUGCGCUCUCUGUUCAACGAAACAGUCGACAGCAAGGACGCUGAGAGCCUCAACAUGAUGCGCAAGUCGCUUGAGAACAUCCGUGCGCAGCGGGCGAUGGAGAAGAUGAAGGAGACCGUGAUGAACCGCACGGAGUCGGGCUUCGAUCCGCUGAAGAGCUGCGGCCACUACGGCGGCAGCGCCGACGCCGGGGCUGCCAACUUCAGCCCAGAGUACGCUUCAGCCCACAAAGGUGGUGGCGACGCCUACAGCUACGCGCAAGCAGCUCAGCAGGCGGCGCGUGAGCAGCCGGAGGACCGCGCAUCGCCUGCGUCGUCUCCGCCGCUGUCGCCGCCGCCGCCAAAUGAGUCCGUCAUAGAUCGCAAGAAGCGAGAGCGACGCGAGGCGGAGGCCAAGUAUCAGAAGGAGCUGCGCCGCCGUCAUGGGCAGCGCGCCGUUCCCUUCGGCGACGAGGAUCUCGGCGGCUUCUGGGAGCGGCACUGAGGGCUGGCGCUGCCGAACCCUGUACGCCGAACUCGGUGCGUUCUCGGGGAGUGAUGGCCUCCAAUUCGUAUAGGCGAAUGGGAAUGCAUGCGCAUAUCUGUGUGUCGCUGCUGCACGCGGUAUGCUCGACGUCCUUACAGUUUUUAUUUUUCUCUUCGCCUUCUACGGGUUUCCCAUUCACUUCUGGUGCCUGCGCUCACCCUUUCCCUCUUCGUUCUGCCCUCCUACUCCUCUCCCUCUCUGUCUCUCUGCCCUUCUGCGCGUGUCCGUGUCUGAGCAAGGUGGGGCGCAAGGGAGGAGAGGAGAGGAAUGCUGCGGCUCUGACGUUCGUGUGGACGAG
RNAcentral lists this unclassified non-coding RNA (2198 nucleotides) under Leishmania donovani. RNAcentral's name for it is "gene:LdHU3.35.2580(CDS-product:hypothetical_prote in_conserved)". The record is from RNAcentral. Lineage: Eukaryota; Euglenozoa; Kinetoplastea; Trypanosomatida; Trypanosomatidae.